UCGUUGGGUAGGGGAGCGUUCUGUAAGCCUGUGAAGGUGGCCUGUGAGGGUUGCUGGAGGUAUCAGAAGUGCGAAUGCUGACAUAAGUAACGAUAAAGCGGGUGAAAAGCCCGCUCGCCGGAAGACCAAGGGUUCCUGUCCAACGUUAAUCGGGGCAGGGUGAGUCGACCCCUAAGGCGAGGCCGAAAGGCGUAGUCGAUGGGAAACGGGUUAAUAUUCCCGUACUUGGUGUUACUGCGAAGGGGGGACGGAGAAGGCUAUGUUGGCCGGGCGACGGUUGUCCCGGUUUAAGCGUGUAGGUGUGUGUUCCAGGUAAAUCCGGUUCACUUUAACACUGAGGCGUGACGACGAGGCACUACGGUGCUGAAGCAACAAAUGCCCUGCUUCCAGGAAAAGCCUCUAAGCAUCAGGUAACAUCAAAUCGUACCCCAAACCGACACAGGUGGUCAGGUAGAGAAUACCAAGGCGCUUGAGAGAACUCGGGUGAAGGAACUAGGCAAAAUGGUGCCGUAACUUCGGGAGAAGGCACGCUGACACGUAGGUGAAGUGAUUUACUCAUGGAGCUGAAGUCAGUCGAAGAUACCAGCUGGCUGCAACUGUUUAUUAAAAACACAGCACUGUGCAAACACGAAAGUGGACGUAUACGGUGUGACGCCUGCCCGGUGCCGGAAGGUUAAUUGAUGGGGUCAGCGCAAGCGAAGCUCCUGAUCGAAGCCCCGGUAAACGGCGGCCGUAACUAUAACGGUCCUAAGGUAGCGAAAUUCCUUGUCGGGUAAGUUCCGACCUGCACGAAUGGCGUAAUGAUGGCCAGGCUGUCUCCACCCGAGACUCAGUGAAAUUGAACUCGCUGUGAAGAUGCAGUGUACCCGCGGCAAGACGGAAAGACCCCGUGAACCUUUACUAUAGCUUGACACUGAACAUUGAGCCUUGAUGUGUAGGAUAGGUGGGAGGCUUUGAAGUGUGGACGCCAGUCUGCAUGGAGCCGACCUUGAAAUACCACCCUUUAAUGUUUGAUGUUCUAACGUGGACCCGUUACCCGGGUUGCGGACAGUGUCUGGUGGGUAGUUUGACUGGGGCGGUCUCCUCCUAAAGAGUAACGGAGGAGCACGAAGGUUGGCUAAUCCUGGUCGGACAUCAGGAGGUUAGUGCAAUGGCAUAAGCCAGCUUGACUGCGAGCGUGACGGCGCGAGCAGGUGCGAAAGCAGGUCAUAGUGAUCCGGUGGUUCUGAAUGGAAGGGCCAUCGCUCAACGGAUAAAAGGUACUCCGGGGAUAACAGGCUGAUACCGCCCAAGAGUUCAUAUCGACGGCGGUGUUUGGCACCUCGAUGUCGGCUCAUCACAUCCUGGGGCUGAAGUAGGUCCCAAGGGUAUGGCUGUUCGCCAUUUAAAGUGGUACGCGAGCUGGGUUUAGAACGUCGUGAGACAGUUCGGUCCCUAUCUGCCGUGGGCGCUGGAGAACUGAGGGGGGCUGCUCCUAGUACGAGAGGACCGGAGUGGACGCAUCACUGGUGUUCGGGUUGUCAUGCCAAUGGCACUGCCCGGUAGCUAAAUGCGGAAGAGAUAAGUGCUGAAAGCAUCUAAGCACGAAACUUGCCCCGAGAUGAGUUCU
This 1609-nucleotide ribosomal RNA is filed under the name Salmonella enterica subsp. enterica serovar Kedougou. Its description in RNAcentral is "bacterial LSU rRNA". It matches the Rfam family "Bacterial large subunit ribosomal RNA", at positions 1221 to 2812 of the family's 2925-position model. Lineage: Bacteria; Pseudomonadati; Pseudomonadota; Gammaproteobacteria; Enterobacterales; Enterobacteriaceae. The record is from RNAcentral.